UACGUAGGGUCCGAGCGUUGUCCGGAGUUACUGGGCGUAAAGGGCGCGUAGGCGGCCUGCUAAGUCGAACGUGAAAUCCCUGGGCUCAACCCAGGAACUGCGUCCGAUACUGGUUGGCUUGAAUCCGGGAGAGGGAUGUGGAAUUCCAGGUGUAGCGGUGAAAUGCGUAGAUAUCUGGAGGAACACCGGUGGCGAAGGCGACAUCCUGGACCGGUAUUGACGCUGAGGCGCGAAAGCCAGGGGAGCAAACGGG
This 253-nucleotide ribosomal RNA is filed under the name uncultured bacterium. RNAcentral's name for it is "partial 16S ribosomal RNA". It matches the Rfam family "Bacterial small subunit ribosomal RNA", at positions 524 to 776 of the family's 1533-position model. The record is from RNAcentral.